GCAACUAGUCCUAUAGAUUCAUGGCUUCAAUCUGUCUUUGGUUCUAUGUCUGAAUGGGCUCUAAGUUGUAUUAAGGAAGGCCUCCGAUGGGUAUUGACAGUUAUUGUAAUCUUAGUAAUAACUCGUGUUGCCUUUUCUUGUAUUACCAGGCGUAUAAAUGCUACGACAAGGAAAGCAUUGUUGGCCCAAAAUAAAAACGGGGGAAAUUGUAGAGGAUUUGGUUAGAAACGCGAGGACAUAUGAGCAUGGCUAAGGCCAUGUAUGAGCUGCUAAAGUACAAGACUUCUGC
Molecule: long non-coding RNA, 289 nt
Organism: Chiroxiphia lanceolata (lance-tailed manakin)
Lineage: Eukaryota; Metazoa; Chordata; Aves; Passeriformes; Pipridae
Exons: 3
Source: RefSeq, a predicted model, not a curated record